UGAAAUACCACCUUCAAUCACCAGAACCUCUCAACCUCCACCUGUUCUAAAAAUUGCUCGUAAUUUCACAACAACCUCUGACCCUAAUCAACUAUAUCACCACAGCUCUUCCUCAUCCUCUGAAUAUGAAUCACCCCCUUACCUUUCCCCUUCUUCUGACCAAGAGUUCUCUGAUCAUGAGUCCUCUGAUCAAGAACACUCUGACCCAAACUCCCCAACAAUAGCUGAAAUCUAUGCUAAAAAUUUCGCCCCACAAACUCAAACACAAACUGAAGUAACCUCUCCCCUCCGAACUUCUAUUCCACAACAAACAACCACCAUUACCUCUGAAAAUCAAACUUCCCUUC
This 347-nucleotide long non-coding RNA is filed under the name Lathyrus oleraceus (garden pea). Its description in RNAcentral is "Pisum sativum (pea) long non-coding RNA (PSAT_LNC032069)". Lineage: Eukaryota; Viridiplantae; Streptophyta; Magnoliopsida; Fabales; Fabaceae. The record is from RNAcentral.